Molecule: long non-coding RNA, 1183 nt
Filed under: Prunus persica (peach)
Lineage: Eukaryota; Viridiplantae; Streptophyta; Magnoliopsida; Rosales; Rosaceae
Description: long non-coding RNA (PPER_LNC003776)
Source: RNAcentral
CCCUUGAAGCACUGGACAGCAUGCAUCCUUGGCACUGCUGCCAAUUCCAAUGUGAAUGAGGCCACCCAACACAUCCACACAAGCUCCCAACUUGAGAGUGUCGAUGGGACACGUGUUCUUUGGUGGUGAUGGGGUUGGCACUGGUGUUGGUGGUGGUGGAGGAGGACAUGGUGUCUCAGUGGGUGGAGGAGGCUUAACUGGUACAACUGGGGUAGGUGUAGGUGUUGGUGGGCUUGGUGGUACAACAGGUGGUGAUGGUGGUGGCUUAACUGGUACAACUGGGGUAGGUGUUGGUGUUGGUGGGCUUGGUGGUACAACAGGUGGUGAUGGUGGUGGCUUAACUGGUACAACUGGGGGCUUGGGUACAUAGGGUGGUGGGGGUUGUACAACUGGGGGCUUGGGUACAUAUGGUGGUGGUGGUUGUACAACUGGGGGUUUGGGGAUGAAGGGUGGGUGCACAAUUGGGGGUUUAGGGAUAAAAGGUGGGUGCACGAUUGGGGGCUUGGGGAUGAAGGGUGGGUGCACAAUUGGGGGCUUGGGGAUGAAGGGUGGGUGCACAAUUGGGGGUUUAGGGAUGAAGGGUGGGUGCACAAUUGGGGGUUUAGGGAUGAAGGGUGGGUGCACAAUUGGGGGUUUAGGGAUGAAGGGUGGGUGCACAAUUGGGGGCUUGGGGAUGAAGGGUGGGUGCACAAUUGGGGGCUUGGGGUGGGGUGGUGGUUUGACAAUAGGAGGCUUGGGGAUGAAGGGAGGUCUCACAAUAGGUGGUUUGGGGACAGAAGGAGGUUUUGGUAUAUGGGGAGGAUAUACAAUGGGGGGUUUGGGGCCAUGAGGUGGCUUGGGUACAUGGGGUGGAUGAGGAUGAGGUGGCUUUGAUGGUGGCUUGGGAACAUAGGGAGGCUUUACAUGAGGGGGAUGGGGUGGUUUUGAUGGUGGUUUGGGAACAUAGGGAGGCUUUACAUGAGGAGGAAGAGGUGGUUUUGAUGGUGGUUUGGGAACAGAGGGAGGCUUUACAUGAGGGGGAUGAGGUGGGUGUUUAGGUGGUUUAGGGAUGAAGGGUGGCUUUACAUGAGGAGGCUGUUUGGGUGGCAAGUGUGGAGGGUAUGUUGGUGGUGGACAGUAGGAGUUAGCAAGAGAAGUGAGCAAACUACCCAAAUUCACAAUGAGGACUAAGAGCAAAGCCAGG